UCGGUUGUCAAGUAUUUCUUAAAAAAGUCAGAUGCAAAUGUCUUCUUUGAACAUCACGUAACUCAAAUCUGUCUUCGGGACGGGAAAUGGGAAGUCUCCAGGAAAACAGGAUCACCAGAACAGUUUGAUAUAGUUAUUCUCACAAUGCCCGUUCCUCAAAUUCUUCAGCUGCAAGGA
This is a long non-coding RNA of Nothoprocta perdicaria, 177 nucleotides long. RefSeq lists it as uncharacterized. The record is from RefSeq and is a predicted model, not a curated record. Lineage: Eukaryota; Metazoa; Chordata; Aves; Tinamiformes; Tinamidae. The transcript has 2 exons.